AAGGUAUGCAUAAAGAAGUGUUAUGAAUUGCCCUUUGAGACUCUGAAGGCCAAAGAGUACCAGAUAAAUUGCAAGUCUGUUGUGUCCCAUAGCAGACUGCCUGAAGUUACAUUUAGAGACUGAAAUCACUGCACCUUAAAAACAAAAGAUUGAGCUGCACUAUAUUCCUAAUCUUUUAUCAUCACUAUCUGGAUAUUCCUCACAACACUGCUGGCUGGUAAGUAAUGCUCAUUAUCUUUAGAAGGUAGUCCAAAAUAUUGAGGUGAAAAGAAAAAUAUAUU
RNAcentral lists this long non-coding RNA (281 nucleotides) under Marmota marmota marmota (Alpine marmot). Its description in RNAcentral is "lncRNA (ENSMMMG00000010632.1)". Lineage: Eukaryota; Metazoa; Chordata; Mammalia; Rodentia; Sciuridae. The record is from RNAcentral.